Molecule: long non-coding RNA, 433 nt
Filed under: Nicotiana benthamiana
Lineage: Eukaryota; Viridiplantae; Streptophyta; Magnoliopsida; Solanales; Solanaceae
Description: long non-coding RNA (NBEN_LNC010081)
Source: RNAcentral
ACGGUUCCACAAUCUUUAAGAUUAAAUUUUAUUUCUCAGCUAAAACUUUCGUAACACCGUUACAUUAUUUCUUCUCCAAUUUUAGCAGUCAACUGAAGCUAUAACAAAAAAUUAGUAGCAUAACACAUGAUAAGACUGAAUUGAUUGAGCUUAACAUAGCAGCUAGUCAAGGAACAAAAUUGUUUAAUUUUUAUUUUUCUCAAAAUAACGAAAGAAGCCGAUGAAGACGUCAGAGAAUUCUGAGACGGUGAAGCUUGAAAAUAGCGCUUUAGGCCAAAAUUGAGUCGUCAUCAACUGCUGAAGACGACCAUGAACCUGGAUUUUGUUACUUUUAUAAAAAGAUUCGGCUAUAGCUGAAGGGGUCAAUAGAAAUUUGAGGUAGUAAAUACUGAGUGAAACAUUCUUCUCUUUCUUUUUUAAUUUUUUUGUGCUG